Long non-coding RNA from Gorilla gorilla gorilla (western lowland gorilla), 1416 nucleotides. RefSeq lists it as uncharacterized. The transcript is spliced from 4 exons. The record is from RefSeq and is a predicted model, not a curated record. Lineage: Eukaryota; Metazoa; Chordata; Mammalia; Primates; Hominidae.
UUUAUUUGAUUUCCCUACAGAACAUUCUCACUGACCCUUACUCUUGAACUUGAAUGAAAAACAACAACCAGAAGCUAAUACUGACCUCAUUCACGUUAAUCCAUUGCAGAAUACUGUCCGUGGAGUCAAAAACACAAGAAACAAUCAACAAGAGAUUAAAACCAGUUUAUUUUGUCUCUAAGACAUUUCUCCUCAGGUUGAUAGAUGCGAAAGUGAACAAUAGUAAAAUAGUCAUGCAUAUAAUUCAUCUUCUCACAGAGAAUUAUGACUUUAAAAACACAGACUUACAAUCUGUAAGUCAGGAAGGAGGAAGGCCAUUUUUAGAGAGCAAGACCCUCAUAUAGUAUGUCAUUACCAAUAAGUUUACUCUGCUUUUUAUUUAAGAAUAAAGAAACUGAAUACUUGAAAUUCAUUUUUCUUACUUCUGCCAGUUGUUUACUGUUGUUUACCGAGAACAUAGCUUAUUUUAUACCUCAUAGAGUUCCUGCAUUUUCCUGAGUCACUGUUACUUGGUCACUCACUGAAUACAUUUUAUUGAGGGUUUACCAAUUGCCAAUUGCCAGUCACUGUUGUAGGUGCUGUGGGGCAAGAGAGAUUAAGACCUUGGCCUCUAAGUAAUAUUAAAUAGAUGAUAAUGUGAUAGAAAGUGACAGCUGGAGUGAGAGACUGUGCUUGAGUUAGGGUAAUCAAGAAAGGUCUCAUAGAAGAAGUGGUUAGGUAAGACUGGGUGUAGUCAUGUGAAGAUGUAGAGAAGAACUUUCCAAGCAGAAGAGACACAAAAUGCAAAAGCUAUGAGAUGGGCAAGAGCAUAUGUGUUAAUAAGACAGAAGGAAAGCCUGUGUGGAUGAGCAACGGGAAAAGAGAAGAGAAAAGAAAAGAAAGAUGAAGUCUGAAGUCUAAGGAACAGGAACAAGUCUGAAUCUUGUACAGCCUUGCAGCCCAUGCUGAGGCCUUUGAGAUACUAUAUGAACUGCUCCAACAUUCUGAAGAGAAGGUCUGGAUCAUUUAAGUAGGACUUGCAAAGAAAGUGGCCUAGAUCCUUAGCUGAGCUGAUCACUUACCUCAAACCUAUAAAGAAGUGGAGGGGCCAAGAAUAGGUGUUGGAUGUCAGCGGGAGAGUUUCAUCAAAGAGCUGUCAGUUUCAUCUCAACCUUACCCUCCAGGAGAGCUUAUUAAAGAAUUAAGGGGCCGGACACAGUGGCUCAUGCCUGUAAUACCAGCACUUUGGGAGGCUGAGGCCAGAGGAUCACUUGAAGCCAAGAGUUUGAGACCAGCCUGGGCAACAAAGCAAGACCCUGUCUCUCCAAAAUUAAAAGAAAAAAAAGGUUAAGACAGUGGAAUAGCCAGUUAGCCUGUGACCAUGUGUGUAGUUCCUGCUAAUGUGCUGAAAGUGCAAGUUUUAUAUGACACUGCCAG